UGAGGAAUAUUGGUCAAUGGGCGCAAGCCUGAACCAGCCAUGCCGCGUGAAGGAUGAAGGUCCUAAGGAUUGUAAACUUCUUUUGUACGGGGGUAAAUUUAGAUACGUGUAUCUAAUUGAAAGUACUGUACGAAUAAGCAACGGCUAACUCCGUGCCAGCAGCCGCGGUAAUACGGAGGUUGCAAGCGUUAUCCGGAUUUAUUGGGUUUAAAGGGUGCGUAGGCGGGACUUUAAGUCAGCGGUGAAAGACUGUCGCUUAACGAUAGCAUUGCCAUUGAUACUGAAGUUCUUGAGUACAUUUGAGGUGGGCGGAAUGAGUAGUGUAGCGGUGAAAUGCUUAGAUAUUACUCAGAACACCAAUUGCGAAGGCAGCUCACUAAACUGUAACUGACGCUGAGGCACGAAAGCGUGGGGAUCAAACAGG
Molecule: ribosomal RNA, 424 nt
Filed under: uncultured bacterium
Lineage: Bacteria
Description: bacterial SSU rRNA
Rfam family: Bacterial small subunit ribosomal RNA
Source: RNAcentral